AAACCAACCUGCUAAUUAAUCCCAACAGACUGCGUUACGGCUGUGAACAAAUUGCAAUUGUCAACCAAAUUUGUGCUAUAGUAUUACAAUCUCAGUGAUAACAAAUUCUAUCUUUUUCCGAUGUGCCUUCUUUGCUUGAGGAGAACACCCAUAAUAAUCGACAGGCAAGAUCCGCUACUUCACAAAUCGCUUAAAAAGCGAGAUUAGACGAUUUUUUGAACGAUAAUUAUUUAGAAGAGCAUUUCAACAGUAACCGUUACAUGAAUGGAAGGGAAGGUUGCGUAUGGACCCCUUUUGGAGAUCAAAGAGUAAUACUCGGGUUAUGCCACGCUACCAACUUUGUUGCUAUUUAUACAACAUUCUAUUUUGUCCGUAACGUAGAGAUGGAAAUAUGGCGUAAGGUCGUGAAGUACCGACCGAUAUUUUUACGCCAGAACCACAACACAUUGAUGAAGUGCCGGAAUGUGUCCGGUUCCCCGGGUUCCUAGUUAUCAGUCAAGGUCGGUUCGAUGCUGCUCCGAUAUAACCCCGAAUGGUAUAGGAAACAGCAAGCAAACACGUCGCCACAAAUGGACGACAGGUCUAUUGACGCAUGCUUUCCGUCACGGUUGCUCAGCUGCGAGCUCCUCGAUGUUUCAACGAUUCGUGUACGACAUCCGUCAAUCAUAUCUUGUCCGGUACAACACAUACACUGGGCACGGGUUCGUACCGGCGGCAUGGUUGAAAAUGGCGUGUCGCUGACGUUAUCUACCGAAAUAUGACACAAACUGGCGAACAAUCGCGAUCUUCCCAAAAGAGAUCGUUGAUAAGCGAAAUCAGGAGAAAACGGAUGCGUAAGUGGGAAAAUGUUGUCAUUUAUUGGAUUGCGGAUAGCUUAGGAUCUAGUGCACAUGGACGUCUGAAUUCUUGACCACGCUCGUGAAUCCACUUGUUGGCAACUGAAAUGAAAGGAAGAUAAGAAAGUUUGAGACAACCGGUCCAUGCAGAUCGAGGAUUAGAGACUCAUACCCCAUUUAGAGCCGAGCAUAACCGGACACGCGCCAUGUAAAGUUCGUGGAUCAGUUGUUCCGUUCCGGUGCAAAUUGUACCAAAAAACGGCUGAUCCUUUCCGUGGGAACACGGCGGCACCGAUCUCGGGGAAGGCUGUAGCACCUCCAAUUUCCACGUCAGACAACUAAAUGCACAUAAGGAGAACCGUAAUAAGAAAACCGCAAGAUCAGGAUGCAAUGUGUUGGCUUUACUUACGUAGUGCAUCACUGUUGCUAUACGGUUACCCUUUCCUAUGUUUGCAUAUACCUCCUCGCCUUCCACUGGCGUGCCGUAAUCAAAAUGAGGCAGAUAGUGACCACCGAUACCAUAGUUUCCAACUUGCAGCUCCUCAGCAGCCCACAUUGUAAGCCCGGUCAUGUCUUCUGUUCGGCGGGAAAGCGAUCUCACGUGUGGAUGCAUCGGAUCAUCCAGCCAGGCGUUGCUGCUGGUGCGAGCUUUUGUGACUUCCUGCUUCUUAGAAUCACCGACCCUGGAUCGCUUUAGCGAAUUCCUCGAAAUUUCGAUGAUCGUCUUAAUCUCGUUGUCCGAAAUCACUUGGUGAUACACGACGAUGAAAGGAUCGAGACUAACUUCUUCCAGCUUAAGCGGCGCGAUCUUAAGAAACGGUACACGAUUGCUCACGUAUCGGCAACGAAGCUUAGCCAUUUCGCUUGCAGUUCGCGGCGAUUCACCCCGACAGAGGCUAUAGAAUUUGCUCCAAUCUGCGGGAGUAUUAGGCACGGGAGGUAAUCCGUGUUGGCGCUCAUACUCGAUCCACUGCUCUAGUGGUUCUUUGCUUUUCAGCGCCAGUGUAUUGUCCGGUUGUAGUUUCAACGCUUGCCUAUUGAAUUCCAGCGCCUCGGCGUACUUAAACUGCUGCGAGAGUGAAUACGACAGGGCAUUCAGUAUCUCCACCUUGCUGACCCCAGGAUUUUCCGUCGUCCAGCGGCGCAAUGCUUCGCGCAACCAGCUCGUCGCAAACUUAUACUCAUUGGCAGCUGACAGUCGCGUGCCUAUCAGAUAGCACUCUCCCGGUGUUAGGGAACGGUGUAACUCACGAUCGAGAAUCUUGCCAUCGGCCAUUUCCUUGGCCGACAGUUGGUAAAGCUCUUGCAACCGAGCGAUUCCUUCGGCCACUCCUGUCAAAUCUUCGGACGUCGGCAUGGCGCUUGAAUUGGUCAACUUAGCUCCCACGUCCAUAUCGAGGAAGUUACGGAUUCGCUCCCAAUCCGAGACAAGCCGGUUCGUCAGCAGGAAUGCAGUGAUCGGAUUCGAUACGUACCCGAGCUCGUCCUUUUGGCCGUGUUUCAGCUCGUUCGUCAGGAGCUUGCGCUGCCGGUGCAGGAACUCAAUCUUUUGCUCGUGAAGCUUAAUGUACAGGUCCAGACUGCCUAUCAGGGACUCUUCUAGCUUCAGCAGCUGUUUCAUCUGCUCCACCGAUGAAUAAUACUCGCCAUUGACGGUGUGCGAGGGAUGAGAGCAGCACAGCCAAAGUGUGAUCAGCACGACGACGUUGGAUAGGGUUGCUGCUGACACCUGAGACAUCAUGGUGUCGUGGUUGCCGGUCCGAAACGAAGUGACAGAGUCGGUCACCAAUCGGUGUGUUCCUGUUAGCUUCAAAAUUUUCAAUCAACGUGUGGUAAUGGAAAACCUUUCACUACCACCACCAGAGCACAGACACAUGUCAUCGAUAAGAAUGCGUUUCGGCAAAAGAAUAUUGAUCGGAAAUCGAUGUACAUUCGCGCUUGUCUUGUGAGUGGGGGUCCAAAUCUUAUCAAUGCACGAUACAAGACGGAACACGAUCUCAUAUUCUGAUUAAACAAUACAGUGAGAACAACUGUGAACAAACCUUUUUGGCGUGGUGUUCUUUUUCGCAAAGUGCAAACUAACCACCGUUGCAUAUUCACAACAUACUGACGGUUGACCCAGCUUGCCAGAUAGGGUCCCUGAAAUUAUCCCUGCACAAGUUUUGGGUCAUACUCGCUGUUUGCGAGAACGCUACACCUUGCUGAACAUGAUUAUCGCCCGCGUUUAAUCUUUCAAGCUAUAUUUCAUUCUAAAACUUAUGUUUUAUAAUACAUUGAGUUAGUUUUUAUCCAUAAAACUUGAGAAAACUUGUCGCGCUUGCCCCACCCUUCACACUAGCCGUAUUUUGAAACCUGGGGAUGUUUCUUUGAUUAUCUUUUCCAUCCUCAAUGUUUUCAACCCACAAUCUAUCGUUUUGGACAUUAUGACUUUGGACCAAAUAGCUUUUCAUCUUAGAACACAUAGCCUCGUCCAGCAUGCCGAGAUAGAUUUUUUUAACACAGGCACGUAAUGGUUUCAUCGUUACUAAAAUCUGACCACCAUCAGAAAAUAGACCAAUCCAACCCUCAAUAUACUAAAUAAACACUACAAUUUGACAAGAAUAUAUUGCUUAGAUUAACUAGAUGCUGUAAAUAUACUAAAAUCCAGCAAAAAAGAGUAUGAUAAUAUAUUGAACUUGGUGAACUUUACAGCUUAGAAUCCAGUGCACAAGGGCGUCUGAAUUCUUGGCCAUGCUCGUGGAUCCACUUGUUGGCAACUGAAAUGAAAGGAAGAUAAGAAAGUUUGAGACAACCGGUCCAUGCAGAUCGAGGAUUAGAGACUCAUACCCCAUUUAGAGCCGAGCAUAACCGGACACGCGCCAUGUAAAGUUCGUGGAUCAGUUGUUCCGUUCCGGUGCAAAUUGUACCAAAAUACGGCUGAUCCUUUCCGUGGGAACACGGCGGCACCGAUCUCGGGGAAAGCUGUAGCACCUCCAAUUUCCACGUCAGACAACUAAAUGCACAUAAGGAGAACCGUAAUAAGAAAACCGCAAGAUCAGGAUGCAAUGUGUUGGCUUUACUUACGUAGUACAUCACGGUUGCUAUACGGUUACCCUUCUCUAUGUUUGGAUACAGUUCUACGCCUUCCUCUGGUGUCCCGUAAUCAAAAUGAGGCAGAUAGUGACCACCGAUACCAUAGUUUCCAACCUGCAGCUGCUCAGAAGCCCACAUUGUAAGCCCGGUCAUGUCUUCUGUUCGGCGAGAAAGCGAUCUCACGUGUGGAUGCAUCGGAUCAUCCAGCCAGGCGUUGCUGCUAGUGCGAGCUUUUGACACCUCCUGCUUCGCAACAUGACCGACCAUGGCUCGCCGUAGCGAAUCCCUCGAAAUUUCGAUGAUCGUCUUAAUCUCGUUGUCCGAAAUCACUUGGUGAUAUACGACGAUGAAAGGAUCGAGACUGACUUCUUCCAGCUUAAGCGGCGCGAUCUUAAGAAACGGUACACGAUUGCUCACGUAUCGGCAACGGAGCUUAGCCAUUUCGCUUGCAGUUCGCGGCGAUUCACCCCGACAGAGGCUAUAGAAUUUGCUCCAAUCUGCGGGAGUAUUUGGCACGGGAGGUAACCCGUGUUGGCGCUCAUACUCGAUCCACUGCUCUAGUGGUUCUUUGCUUUUCAGCGCCAGUGUAUUGUCCGGUUGUAGUUUCAACGCUUGCCUAUUGAAUUCCAGCGCCUCGGCGUACUUAAACUGCUGCGAGAGUGAAUACGACAGGGCAUUCAGUAUCUCCACCUUGCUGACCCCAGGAUUUUCCGUCGUCCAGCGGCGCAAUGCUUCGCGCAACCAGCUCGUCGCAAACAUGUACUCAUUGGCAGCCGACAGUCGCGUGCCUAUCAGAUAGCACUCUCCCGGUGUUAGGGAACGGUGUAACUCACGAUCGAGAAUCUUGCCAUCGGCCAUUUCCUUGGCCGACAGUUGGUAAAGCUCUUGCAACCGAGCGAUUCCUUCGGCCACUCCUGUCAAAUCUUCGGACGUCGGCAUGGCGCUGGAAUUGGUCAACUUAGCUCCCACGUCCAUAUCGAGGAAGUUACGGAUUCGCUCCCAAUCCGAGACUAGCCGGUUCGUCAGCAGGAAUGCAGUGAUCGGAUUUGAUACGUACCCGAGCUCGUCCUUUUGACCGAGUUCCAGCUCGUUCGUCAGGAUCUUGCGCUGCCGGUGCAGGAACUCAAUCUUUUGCUCGUGCAGCUUAAUGUACUGGUCCAGACUGCCUAUCAGGGACUCCUCUAGCUUCAGCAGCUGCUUCAUCUGCUCCACCGAUGAAUAAUACUCGCCAUUGACGGUGUGCGAGGGAUGAGAGCAGCACAGCCAAAGUAUGAUCAGCACGACGACGUUGGAUAGGGUUGCUGCUAACACCUGAGACA
Anopheles darlingi is the source of this 5227-nucleotide long non-coding RNA. RefSeq lists it as uncharacterized. The record is from RefSeq and is a predicted model, not a curated record. The transcript has 3 exons. NCBI's taxonomy places the organism in Eukaryota, Metazoa, Arthropoda, Insecta, Diptera, Culicidae.